RNAcentral lists this ribosomal RNA (420 nucleotides) under bacterium. Its description in RNAcentral is "partial 16S ribosomal RNA". It matches the Rfam family "Bacterial small subunit ribosomal RNA", at positions 355 to 776 of the family's 1533-position model. RNAcentral also lists the same sequence under 1 other name. The record is from RNAcentral.
UGGGGGAUAUUGCACAAUGGGCGAAAGCCUGAUGCAGCGACGCCGCGUGGGGGAUGAAGGCUUUCGGGUUGUAAACCUCUUUCGCUAUCGAACAAGGCCCGCUUAGGGUGGGUUGAGGGUAGGUGGAGAAGAAGCGCCGGCUAACUACGUGCCAGCAGCCGCGGUAAUACGUAGGGCGCGAGCGUUGUCCGGAAUUAUUGGGCGUAAAGGGCUUGUAGGCGGCUUGUUGCGCCUGCUGUGAAAACGCGGGGCUUAACUUCGCGCGUGCAGUGGGUACGGGCAGGCUUGAGUGUGGUAGGGGUGACUGGAAUUCCAGGUGUAGCGGUGGAAUGCGUAGAUAUCUGGAGGAACACCGAUGGCGAAGGCAGGUCACUGGGCCAUUACUGACGCUGAGGAGCGAAAGCAUGGGUAGCGAACAGG